Molecule: ribosomal RNA, 432 nt
Filed under: uncultured bacterium
Lineage: Bacteria
Description: partial 16S ribosomal RNA
Rfam family: Bacterial small subunit ribosomal RNA
Source: RNAcentral
AACGAACGCUGGCGGCAUGCCUAACACAUGCAAGUCGAACGCGACCUACGGGUCUAGUGGCGCACGGGUGCGUAACGCGUGGGAACCUGCCCUUAGGUUCGGAAUAACUCCCCGAAAGGGGUGCUAAUACCGGAUAAUCUCUUCGGACCAAAGAUUUAUCGCCUUUGGAUGGGCCCGCGUUGGAUUAGCUAGUUGGUAGGGUAAAAGCCUACCAAGGCGACGAUCCAUAGCUGGUCUGAGAGGAUGAUCAGCCACACUGGGACUGAGACACGGCCCAGACUCCUACGAGAGGCAGCAGUGGGGAAUAUUGGACAAUGGGCGAAAGACUGAUCCAGCAAUGCCGCGUGAGUGAUGAAGGCCUUAGGGUGGUAAAGCUCUUUUACCCGGGAUGAUAAUGACAGUACCGGGAGAAUAAGCUCCGGCUAACUCCGU